AGCUAAUCUAAAAGGAUGCAGAAUCACUUUAAGAGUAUUAAUAAAAGCUUACUUUUAUUGAACUCUUACUUAAUAUCAGGCAAGGGACUGAAUGGCAGGCAAUCUUCUGAAGAGUACUAUAAUAAGCAUCUUUUUUUCCUAUUUCACUGAGAAACAGAUGCAAGCAAUAUUCCUGCAGUUGUAUCUACCUGCCUCCUCAUGUUGGCAUCAAAUACCGCUUUCCCUCCUAUUACAAUGAAGAACUGGCCAUGAACCUAUCUAUCUUGGAUCAACUCCUUCACUUGUGGAUUAGAUCUUAUUCCACCCACCUAUUCAAAAACACUGCUUCUGCUAAUGUCCACUCUCUCUUCUGCAGUGUUUAUUUUUCCCUCUUCACUGGAUCAUUCAUAUUAGCGAAAAUGUAAACCGUAUGUUCUCCCAUCUUAACAAACAAAUAUCUCUUUUGAUUCCACUGCCCCCAUCAACUUACUCUGUUCCACACAGAGAAAAACUGUUUGGAGAGUUGUCUAUGCUCUCUGUGUACCAUUCCUUGCCUCUGAUUUCUCCCUCUCAAACCCCCCCACCUCUAGUCAGUGACUGGUGCCCCUACUAUACCACCAAACUACUCUUGCAAAGGUCGCUUCUGACUUGGGCGAUCAUACAGUUUAUCACCCAAACUGAGACACCUUUGAGAGUGAAAAGAGUGCCGUUAACAACUACAUCAGGAUAAUAGGCAAAAACCUGGGUGGUCCAUGGGCAAACCCUGUGUCUUAGACAGGGUUCUAUAGAAGUAGACGCUGUAAUGGAGAGUUCCAUGCAGAAGGUUCAUGGGGCAGCAUUCCAAGAGGCACAACUGGAAGAAAGUGAGGAAGGCAAGAUUAGGCAGAGGUGGAAGCUGACUCACCAUGUGCCUACAAGUGAGGCUCAGCCCAUCCUAUGGGAGAGCUCUGAAGCCAUGUUGGACCUUCAUAGUGAUGUUAAAUUGAGAUCUUGUUUGGAACUUCUAGCAAGUAUAUCCAGUUACCUCACAGGCAUCUCCACUUGGAUUUAUAAGGAAUUUCAAUAUAAUGUGUCAAAAUGCAACCGACGACUUUCUCCCUGACACCGCCCCCAUCUCCUUCACAACAAUAAACUGAGAUUCAAGAAAGCAGGGGACAGGAAGAAAAGAGGUUUGUGAGUUUUGAAGGUUGCCAGGAAAUGAAAGAUGCAUGGUGAGCCAAUCAAUAGUCUAAUGGAAUGGUUUCCAACUUUACUGUCAAGACACACAGGUGCACUUUAAUCAGUGGAGGGAUAUAUUCACAAGCAAAGUGCUGC
Non-coding RNA from Equus caballus (horse), 1293 nucleotides. NCBI's taxonomy places the organism in Eukaryota, Metazoa, Chordata, Mammalia, Perissodactyla, Equidae. The record is from RefSeq and is a predicted model, not a curated record.